Molecule: ribosomal RNA, 3007 nt
Filed under: Streptomyces hygroscopicus subsp. hygroscopicus
Lineage: Bacteria; Bacillati; Actinomycetota; Actinomycetes; Kitasatosporales; Streptomycetaceae
Description: bacterial LSU rRNA
Rfam family: Bacterial large subunit ribosomal RNA
Source: RNAcentral
AGGGCGCACGGUGGAUGCCUUGGCACCAGGAACCGAUGAAGGACGUGGGAGGCCGCGAUAGGCCCCGGGGAGCUGUCAACCGAGCUGUGAUCCGGGGGUGUCCGAAUGGGGAAACCCGGCAGUCGUCAUGGGCUGUCACCCAUACCUGAACACAUAGGGUAUGUGGAGGGAACGCGGGGAAGUGAAACAUCUCAGUACCCGCAGGAAGAGAAAACAACCGUGAUUCCGGGAGUAGUGGCGAGCGAAACUGGAUGAGGCUAAACCGUAUGUGUGUGAUACCCGGCAGGGGUUGCGCAUGCGGGGUUGUGGGAGCGAGCUUCGGUCGUCUGCCGGCGGCUGGGUGAGUCAGAAACCAUUGCGAUAGGCGAAGGGCAUGCGAAAGGCCCGGCGUAGAGGGUAAGACCCCCGUAGCUGAAAUCGUGGUGGCUUGCUUGCUUGUUUCCCAAGUAGCACGGGGCCCGAGAAAUCCCGUGUGAAUCUGGCGGGACCACCCGCUAAGCCUAAAUAUUCCCUGGUGACCGAUAGCGGAUAGUACCGUGAGGGAAUGGUGAAAAGUACCGCGGGAGCGGAGUGAAAUAGUACCUGAAACCGUGUGCCUACAAGCCGUGGGAGCGUCGGGCAUCAGCUUGCUGGUGUCUCGUGACUGCGUGCCUUUUGAAGAAUGAGCCUGCGAGUUUGCGGUGUGUUGCGAGGUUAACCCGUGUGGGGAAGCCGUAGCGAAAGCGAGUCCGAAUAGGGCGGUGUAGUAGCGCGCUCAAGACCCGAAGCGGAGUGAUCUAGCCAUGGGCAGGUUGAAGCGGAGGUAAGACUUCGUGGAGGACCGAACCCACCAGGGUUGAAAACCUGGGGGAUGACCUGUGGUUAGGGGUGAAAGGCCAAUCAAACUCCGUGAUAGCUGGUUCUCCCCGAAAUGCAUUUAGGUGCAGCGUCGUGUGUUUCUUGCCGGAGGUAGAGCACUGGAUAGGCGAUGGGCCCUACCGGGUUACUGACCUUAGCCAAACUCCGAAUGCCGGUAAGUGAGAGCGCGGCAGUGAGACUGUGGGGGAUAAGCUCCAUGGUCGAGAGGGAAACAGCCCAGAGCAUCGACUAAGGCCCCUAAGCGUACGCUAAGUGGGAAAGGAUGUGGAGUCGCAGAGACAACCAGGAGGUUGGCUUAGAAGCAGCCAUCCUUGAAAGAGUGCGUAAUAGCUCACUGGUCAAGUGAUUCCGCGCCGACAAUGUAGCGGGGCUCAAGCGUACCGCCGAAGUCGUGUCAUUGCAGCAUAUAGGCCUAACGGUUGUUGUGAUGGGUAGGGGAGCGUCGUGUGCCGGGUGAAGCAGCCGUGUGAGCGAGUUGUGGAUGGUUCACGAGUGAGAAUGCAGGCAUGAGUAGCGAUUCACACGUGGGAAACGUGUGCGCCGAUUGACUAAGGGUUCCUGGGUCAAGCUGAUCUGCCCAGGGUAAGUCGGGACCUAAGGCGAGGCCGACAGGCGUAGUCGAUGGACAACCGGUUGAUAUUCCGGUACCCGCUUUGAAGCGCCAGCGCUGAACCAGGCGAUGCUAAGUCCGUGAAGCCGCCCUGGAUCCUUCGGGUGAAGGGGAGUGGUGGAGCCGACGGUCCAGACCUGUAGUAGGUGAGUGAUGGGGUGACGCAGGAAGGUAGUCCAGCCCGGGCGGUGGUUGUCCCGGGGUAAGGGUGUAGCCCGAGGGGUAGGUAAAUCCGUCUCUCAAACAGGGUGAGACCUGAUGCCGAGCCGAUUGUGGUGAAGUGGAUGAUCCUAUGCUGUCGAGAAAAGCCUCUAGCGAGUUUCAUGGCGGCCCGUACCCUAAACCGACUCAGGUGGUCAGGUAGAGAAUACCGAGGCGUUCGGGUGAACUAUGGUUAAGGAACUCGGCAAAAUGCCCCCGUAACUUCGGGAGAAGGGGGGCCAUUGCUGGUGAUCACCCUUGCGGUGUGAGCUGGUGGUGGCCGCAGAGACCAGCGAGAAGCGACUGUUUACUAAAAACACAGGUCCGUGCGAAGCCGUAAGGCGAUGUAUACGGACUGACGCCUGCCCGGUGCUGGAACGUUAAGGGGACCGGUUAGUCACAUUUCGGUGUGGCGAAGCUGAGAACUUAAGCGCCAGUAAACGGCGGUGGUAACUAUAACCAUCCUAAGGUAGCGAAAUUCCUUGUCGGGUAAGUUCCGACCUGCACGAAUGGCGUAACGACUUCUCGACUGUCUCAACCAUAGGCCCGGUGAAAUUGCAUUACGAGUAAAGAUGCUCGUUUCGCGCAGCAGGACGGAAAGACCCCGGGACCUUUACUAUAGCUUGAUAUUGGUGUUCGGUUCGGCUUGUGUAGGAUAGGUGGGAGACUGUGAAGCCGCAACGCCAGUUGUGGUGGAGUCGUUGUUGAAAUACCACUCUGGUCGUGCUGGAUGUCUAACCUGGGUCCGUGAUCCGGAUCAGGGACAGUGUCUGGUGGGUAGUUUAACUGGGGCGGUUGCCUCCUAAAGGGUAACGGAGGCGCCCAAAGGUUCCCUCAGCCUGGUUGGCAAUCAGGUGUUGAGUGUAAGUGCACAAGGGAGCUUGACUGUGAGACUGACGGGUCGAGCAGGGACGAAAGUCGGGACUAGUGAUCCGGCGGUGGCUUGUGGAAGCGCCGUCGCUCAACGGAUAAAAGGUACCCCGGGGAUAACAGGCUGAUCUUCCCCAAGAGUCCAUAUCGACGGGAUGGUUUGGCACCUCGAUGUCGGCUCGUCGCAUCCUGGGGCUGGAGUCGGUCCCAAGGGUUGGGCUGUUCGCCCAUUAAAGCGGUACGCGAGCUGGGUUUAGAACGUCGUGAGACAGUUCGGUCCCUAUCCGCUGUGCGCGUAGGAGUCUUGAGAAGGGCUGUCCCUAGUACGAGAGGACCGGGACGGACGAACCUCUGGUGUGCCAGUUGUUCUGCCAAGGGCAUGGCUGGUUGGCUACGUUCGGGAGGGAUAACCGCUGAAAGCAUCUAAGCGGGAAGCCUGCUUCGAGAUGAGGGCUCCCACCUCCUUGA